GGAGUCUAACAUCCCGCUGAAUUUAAGCAUAUAAGUAAGCGGGGGAAAAGGAACUAAAUAGGAUUCCCUCAGUAAUGGCGAAUGAACAGGGAUGAGCUCAGGCUGGAAACCGAUACAUCUGUGUCGGGCUGUAGCCUGCAGGCAUAGCGCUAUCGGCGGCUCGAGCGCAAGCCUCUUGGAAUAGAGCGUGUGCCCGGGUGAGAAUCCUGCAUUUCGCUCGAUGUCCGCUGUCCACAGUGCUUGUCCUGAGAGUCACGCUCCUCGGAAUUGGAGCGUAAAUCAGGUGGUAAGUUUCAUCCAAAGCUAAAUAGAAGCUCGAGACCAAUAGCAAACAAGUACCAUGAGGGAAAGAUGAAAAGGACUUUGGAAAGAGAGUUAAAAGUGUUUGAAAUUGCUGAGAGCGAAGCGAACGGAGCCACAUGUCGUGCUGAGAUUGCUGUGGGUCUUUGUGAGCCUUGAGCAUGUAAGCGCAAGCUGACUGCUUAUGUGUGAGCAUUUACCCGCAGUGUUUCUCAGCAUGCGAGUCAUUAGCCACAUUUGUUUGAGGAUGGCCUUCAGCUCACAUGGUACACUUGUUA
RNAcentral lists this ribosomal RNA (578 nucleotides) under Symbiodinium sp. RM-2004. Its description in RNAcentral is "LSU rRNA". It matches the Rfam family "Eukaryotic large subunit ribosomal RNA", at positions 1 to 552 of the family's 3401-position model. The record is from RNAcentral. Lineage: Eukaryota; Dinophyceae; Suessiales; Symbiodiniaceae.